AAAUUGAAGAGUUUGAUCAUGGCUCAGAUUGAACGCUGGCGGCAGGCCUAACACAUGCAAGUCGAGCGGUAGCACAGAGAGCUUGCUCUCGGGUGACGAGCGGCGGACGGGUGAGUAAUGUCUGGGAAACUGCCUGAUGGAGGGGGAUAACUACUGGAAACGGUAGCUAAUACCGCAUAACGUCGCAAGACCAAAGUGGGGGACCUUCGGGCCUCAUGCCAUCAGAUGUGCCCAGAUGGGAUUAGCUGGUAGGUGGGGUAACGGCUCACCUAGGCGACGAUCCCUAGCUGGUCUGAGAGGAUGACCAGCCACACUGGAACUGAGACACGGUCCAGACUCCUACGGGAGGCAGCAGUGGGGAAUAUUGCACAAUGGGCGCAAGCCUGAUGCAGCCAUGCCGCGUGUGUGAAGAAGGCCUUCGGGUUGUAAAGCACUUUCAGCGGGGAGGAAGGCGAUAAGGUUAAUAACCUUGUCGAUUGACGUUACCCGCAGAAGAAGCACCGGCUAACUCCGUGCCAGCAGCCGCGGUAAUACGGAGGGUGCAAGCGUUAAUCGGAAUUACUGGGCGUAAAGCGCACGCAGGCGGUCUGUCAAGUCGGAUGUGAAAUCCCCGGGCUCAACCUGGGAACUGCAUUCGAAACUGGCAGGCUAGAGUCUUGUAGAGGGGGGUAGAAUUCCAGGUGUAGCGGUGAAAUGCGUAGAGAUCUGGAGGAAUACCGGUGGCGAAGGCGGCCCCCUGGACAAAGACUGACGCUCAGGUGCGAAAGCGUGGGGAGCAAACAGGAUUAGAUACCCUGGUAGUCCACGCUGUAAACGAUGUCGAUUUGGAGGUUGUGCCCUUGAGGCGUGGCUUCCGGAGCUAACGCGUUAAAUCGACCGCCUGGGGAGUACGGCCGCAAGGUUAAAACUCAAAUGAAUUGACGGGGGCCCGCACAAGCGGUGGAGCAUGUGGUUUAAUUCGAUGCAACGCGAAGAACCUUACCUGGUCUUGACAUCCACAGAACUUAGCAGAGAUGCUUUGGUGCCUUCGGGAACUGUGAGACAGGUGCUGCAUGGCUGUCGUCAGCUCGUGUUGUGAAAUGUUGGGUUAAGUCCCGCAACGAGCGCAACCCUUAUCCUUUGUUGCCAGCGGUUCGGCCGGGAACUCAAAGGAGACUGCCAGUGAUAAACUGGAGGAAGGUGGGGAUGACGUCAAGUCAUCAUGGCCCUUACGACCAGGGCUACACACGUGCUACAAUGGCAUAUACAAAGAGAAGCGACCUCGCGAGAGCAAGCGGACCUCAUAAAGUAUGUCGUAGUCCGGAUUGGAGUCUGCAACUCGACUCCAUGAAGUCGGAAUCGCUAGUAAUCGUAGAUCAGAAUGCUACGGUGAAUACGUUCCCGGGCCUUGUACACACCGCCCGUCACACCAUGGGAGUGGGUUGCAAAAGAAGUAGGUAGCUUAACCUUCGGGAGGGCGCUUACCACUUUGUGAUUCAUGACUGGGGUGAAGUCGUAACAAGGUAACCGUAGGGGAACCUGCGGUUGGAUCACCUCCUUACCUUAAAGAA
This 1550-nucleotide ribosomal RNA is filed under the name Klebsiella variicola. RNAcentral describes it as "bacterial SSU rRNA". It matches the Rfam family "Bacterial small subunit ribosomal RNA". Lineage: Bacteria; Pseudomonadati; Pseudomonadota; Gammaproteobacteria; Enterobacterales; Enterobacteriaceae. The record is from RNAcentral.